This 463-nucleotide ribosomal RNA is filed under the name uncultured bacterium. RNAcentral describes it as "bacterial SSU rRNA". It matches the Rfam family "Bacterial small subunit ribosomal RNA", at positions 343 to 797 of the family's 1533-position model. The record is from RNAcentral.
GGGAGGCAGCAGUGAGGAAUUGUUCGCAAUGGGCGCAAGCCUGACGACGCAACGCCGCGUGGAGGACGAAGAUCUUCGGAUCGUAAACUCCUGUCGAGCGGGACGAACGGCCCCGGACCUAAUACGUCCGGGGAGUGACGGUACCGCGCGAGGAAGCCCCGGCUAACUCCGUGCCAGCAGCCGCGGUAAUACGGGGGGGGCAAGCGUUGUUCGGAAUUACUGGGCGUAAAGGGCUCGUAGGCGGCCUUGUUAGUCGGACGUGAAAUCCCUCGGCUUAACCGGGGAACUGCGUCCGAUACUGCGAGGCUUGAAUCCGGGAGAGGGAUGCGGAAUUCCAGGUGUAGCGGUGAAAUGCGUAGAUAUCUGGAGGAACACCGGUGGCGAAGGCGGCAUCCUGGACCGGUAUUGACGCUGAGGAGCGAAAGCCAGGGGAGCAAACGGGAUUAGAUACCCGUGUAGUCCC